This is a small nuclear RNA of Myotis daubentonii (Daubenton's bat), 193 nucleotides long. RefSeq annotates it as U2 spliceosomal RNA. NCBI's taxonomy places the organism in Eukaryota, Metazoa, Chordata, Mammalia, Chiroptera, Vespertilionidae. The record is from RefSeq and is a predicted model, not a curated record.
AUCGCUUCUCGGCCUUUUGGCUAAGAUCAAGUGUAGUAUCUGUUCUUAUCAGUUUAAUUCAUAAACACAGGCCUGGUACCAACCACAGGCUGAAGGUGAAACCAGCAUUUUCUUCAUGCUACCGACAGACCUCUCUCCCUUGCUGAGAGAUGGGCAGCAAAGCUGGCAGCUCUCUGGAUCCUGCCCACCUCUC